Molecule: ribosomal RNA, 1638 nt
Filed under: Escherichia coli
Lineage: Bacteria; Pseudomonadati; Pseudomonadota; Gammaproteobacteria; Enterobacterales; Enterobacteriaceae
Description: partial 23S ribosomal RNA
Rfam family: Bacterial large subunit ribosomal RNA
Source: RNAcentral
AAAGCCCGCUCGCCGGAAGACCAAGGGUUCCUGUCCAACGUUAAUCGGGGCAGGGUGAGUCGACCCCUAAGGCGAGGCCGAAAGGCGUAGUCGAUGGGAAACAGGUUAAUAUUCCUGUACUUGGUGUUACUGCGAAGGGGGGACGGAGAAGGCUAUGUUGGCCGGGCGACGGUUGUCCCGGUUUAAGCGUGUAGGCUGGUUUUCCAGGCAAAUCCGGAAAAUCAAGGCUGAGGCGUGAUGACGAGGCACUACGGUGCUGAAGCAACAAAUGCCCUGCUUCCAGGAAAAGCCUCUAAGCAUCAGGUAACAUCAAAUCGUACCCCAAACCGACACAGGUGGUCAGGUAGAGAAUACCAAGGCGCUUGAGAGAACUCGGGUGAAGGAACUAGGCAAAAUGGUGCCGUAACUUCGGGAGAAGGCACGCUGAUAUGUAGGUGAAGUCCCUCGCGGAUGGAGCUGAAAUCAGUCGAAGAUACCAGCUGGCUGCAACUGUUUAUUAAAAACACAGCACUGUGCAAACACGAAAGUGGACGUAUACGGUGUGACGCCUGCCCGGUGCCGGAAGGUUAAUUGAUGGGGUCAGCGCAAGCGAAGCUCUUGAUCGAAGCCCCGGUAAACGGCGGCCGUAACUAUAACGGUCCUAAGGUAGCGAAAUUCCUUGUCGGGUAAGUUCCGACCUGCACGAAUGGCGUAAUGAUGGCCAGGCUGUCUCCACCCGAGACUCAGUGAAAUUGAACUCGCUGUGAAGAUGCAGUGUACCCGCGGCAAGACGGAAAGACCCCGUGAACCUUUACUAUAGCUUGACACUGAACAUUGAGCCUUGAUGUGUAGGAUAGGUGGGAGGCUUUGAAGUGUGGACGCCAGUCUGCAUGGAGCCGACCUUGAAAUACCACCCUUUAAUGUUUGAUGUUCUAACGUGGACCCGUGAUCCGGGUUGCGGACAGUGUCUGGUGGGUAGUUUGACUGGGGCGGUCUCCUCCUAAAGAGUAACGGAGGAGCACGAAGGUUGGCUAAUCCUGGUCGGACAUCAGGAGGUUAGUGCAAUGGCAUAAGCCAGCUUGACUGCGAGCGUGACGGCGCGAGCAGGUGCGAAAGCAGGUCAUAGUGAUCCGGUGGUUCUGAAUGGAAGGGCCAUCGCUCAACGGAUAAAAGGUACUCCGGGGAUAACAGGCUGAUACCGCCCAAGAGUUCAUAUCGACGGCGGUGUUUGGCACCUCGAUGUCGGCUCAUCACAUCCUGGGGCUGAAGUAGGUCCCAAGGGUAUGGCUGUUCGCCAUUUAAAGUGGUACGCGAGCUGGGUUUAGAACGUCGUGAGACAGUUCGGUCCCUAUCUGCCGUGGGCGCUGGAGAACUGAGGGGGGCUGCUCCUAGUACGAGAGGACCGGAGUGGACGCAUCACUGGUGUUCGGGUUGUCAUGCCAAUGGCACUGCCCGGUAGCUAAAUGCGGAAGAGAUAAGUGCUGAAAGCAUCUAAGCACGAAACUUGCCCCGAGAUGAGUUCUCCCUGACCCUUUAAGGGUCCUGAAGGAACGUUGAAGACGACGACGUUGAUAGGCCGGGUGUGUAAGCGCAGCGAUGCGUUGAGCUAACCGGUACUAAUGAACCGUGAGGCUUAACCUUACAACGCCGAAGGUGUUU